This 207-nucleotide ribosomal RNA is filed under the name uncultured bacterium. RNAcentral's name for it is "partial 16S ribosomal RNA". It matches the Rfam family "Bacterial small subunit ribosomal RNA", at positions 568 to 774 of the family's 1533-position model. The record is from RNAcentral.
CGUGUAGGCGGCUUGUUAAGUCUGAUGUGAAAGCCCUGGGCUCAACCCAGGAAGUGCAUUGGAAACUGGCAAACUUGAGUACGGGAGAGGAAAGUGGAAUUUCGAGUGUAGGGGUGAAAUCCGUAGAUAUUCGAAGGAACACCAGUGGCGAAGGCGGCUUUCUGGACCGAUACUGACGCUGAGACGCGAAAGCGUGGGGAGCAAACA